UACGUAGGUGGCAAGCGUUGUUCGGAAUUAUUGGGCGUAAAGCGCGUGCAGGCGGUUUCUUAAGUCUGAUGUGAAAUCUCGUGGCUCAACCACGAGCGGCCAUUGGAAACUGGGAAACUUGAGUGCAGAAGAGAAGAGCGGAAUUCCACGUGUAGCGGUGAAAUGCGUAGAGAUGUGGAGGAACACCAGUGGCGAAGGCGGCUCUUUGGUCUGUAACUGACGCUGAGGCGCGAAAGCGUGGGGAGCAAACAGGAUUAGAUA
Molecule: ribosomal RNA, 261 nt
Filed under: uncultured prokaryote
Description: partial 16S ribosomal RNA
Rfam family: Bacterial small subunit ribosomal RNA
Source: RNAcentral